Molecule: ribosomal RNA, 279 nt
Filed under: uncultured bacterium
Lineage: Bacteria
Description: partial 16S ribosomal RNA
Rfam family: Bacterial small subunit ribosomal RNA
Source: RNAcentral
UAUUGCCUACGGGGGGCAGCAGUGGGGAAUAUUGCACAAUGGGGGAAACCCUGAUGCAGCAACGCCGCGUGAGUGAAGAAGUAUUUCGGUAUGUAAAGCUCUAUCAGCAGGGAAGAAGAAAGACGGUACCUGACUAAGAAGCCCCGGCUAACUACGUGCCAGCAGCCGCGGUAAUACGUAGGGGGCAAGCGUCAUCCGGAUUUACUGGGUGUAAAGGGAGCGUAGACGGCGAUGCAAGUCUGAAGUGAAAGCCCGGGGCUCAACCCCGGGACGGCUUUG